Molecule: ribosomal RNA, 253 nt
Filed under: uncultured bacterium
Lineage: Bacteria
Description: partial 16S ribosomal RNA
Rfam family: Bacterial small subunit ribosomal RNA
Source: RNAcentral
UACGGAGGGUGCAAACGUUGCUCGGAAUCAUUGGGCGUAAAGCGCACGUAGGCGGUCGGCUAUGUCGGAUGUGAAAGCCUCGGGCUUAACCCGAGAAGGGCAUCCGAAACUGGCCGGCUUGAGUACGGAAGAGGGUCUCGGAAUUCCCGGUGUAGAGGUGAAAUUCGUAGAUAUCUGGAGGAAUACCGGUGGCGAAGGCGGCAUCCUGGACCGGCAUUGACGCUGAGGAGCGAAAGCUAGGGGAGCAAACGGG